AACUUGUAGCAAUGUAUCACUUGGUUCUGGCAUCGAUUAAGAACGCAGCGAAAUGCGAUAAGUAAUGUGAAUUGUAGAAUUCAGUGAAUCAUCGAAUCUUUGAACGCACAUUGCGCCCGCUAGUAUUCUGGCGGGCAUGCCUGUCUGAGCGUCAUUUCAACCCUCAAGCAACAUCUGCUUGGUGUUGGGGACCGGCCGUCAAACGCCGCCCCCUAAAUCUAUUGGCGAUCUCGCUGUAGCUUCCUAUGCGUAGUAGUAACAUCUCGCAUGUGGAGAGCGGCGCGGUCAUGCCGUAAAACACCCAACUUUUUUCAGGUUGACCUCAGAUCAGGUAGGAAUACCCGCUGAACUUAAGCAUAUCAAUAAGCGGAGGCU
Molecule: unclassified non-coding RNA, 375 nt
Filed under: uncultured Hypocreales
Lineage: Eukaryota; Fungi; Ascomycota; Sordariomycetes; Hypocreales
Description: sequence contains ITS2
Rfam family: 5.8S ribosomal RNA (bases 1-154)
Source: RNAcentral